UGCAUUGGUGGUAUAGUGGUGAGCAUAGCUGCCUUCCAAGCAGUUGACCCGGGUUCGAUUCCCGGCAAAGCAGCAA
This is a non-coding RNA of Coregonus clupeaformis (lake whitefish), 76 nucleotides long. The record is from the annotation of a RefSeq genome assembly. Lineage: Eukaryota; Metazoa; Chordata; Actinopteri; Salmoniformes; Salmonidae.